Molecule: ribosomal RNA, 603 nt
Filed under: Plateros sp. UPOL A00634
Lineage: Eukaryota; Metazoa; Arthropoda; Insecta; Coleoptera; Lycidae
Description: partial 16S ribosomal RNA
Rfam family: Bacterial large subunit ribosomal RNA (bases 379-537)
Source: RNAcentral
CAUGUCUUUUUGAUUAUAAUUUAAAGUCUGAUCUGCACAAUGAUUUUUAAAUUGCCGCAGUAUUUUGACUGUGCAAAGGUAGCAUAGUAAUUAGUUUCUUAAUUAGAAGCUGGAAUGAAUGAUUGGACAAGAAAAUUUCUGUCUCUUAUUAAUCUAUUUAUUAACUUUAUUUUUAAGUUAAAAAGCUUAAAUUUAUAUAAAAGACGAGAAGACCCUAUAGAGUUUAAUAUUUAUUUAUUAUUGAUUAAUAGAAAUAGUUUUAAUUUUUAAGUAUUUAGUUGGGGUGACUUAAAGAUUUGUUAAAUUCUUUAAAAUUUUAAUUGAUGAUUUUUAAUUUUUAUAUCUAAAUUUUUUAAAUUUAAAAUUAAUUACCUUAGGGAUAACAGCGUAAUUUUUCUUAAGAGUUCAUAUUUAAAGAAAAUUUUGCGACCUCGAUGUUGGAUUAAAAUUAAUUUUUGGUGCAGUAACUUAAAAAUUAGGUCUGUUCGACCUUUAAAAUUUUACAUGAUCUGAGUUUAAACCGGUGUAAGCCAGGUUGGAUUCUAUCUUUAGUUUAAUUAUAUAUUUUAGUACGAAAGGACCAAGUAUAUAUUAUAUUAAUUG